Daphnia pulicaria is the source of this 864-nucleotide long non-coding RNA. RefSeq lists it as uncharacterized. The transcript has 4 exons. Lineage: Eukaryota; Metazoa; Arthropoda; Branchiopoda; Diplostraca; Daphniidae. The record is from RefSeq and is a predicted model, not a curated record.
CACAGACAUGACAACAGUUCGGUUCGUUACAUUCAUAAGUUACUUCAAAUUUCACAACAAAUUAAAAAGUUAAACAACGGAGAUCGGAUAAUAAGUUAACUGUUUUUAAAUAAUUUCAGUUUAAGUUUUCAUGUACGUACCUGCCUAUCUGGCCAACUAGGUGCUCGUGACAAUAGAAACACAAUGGUCUAAUCCAAUGAUGCAAGUUCACAACCUAUGUCUUCUGAUUCUGAAGCAAAAUAAUAUCAGUUACAAGUUGUAAAUCUUCAAGAUAUUGAUGGCUUCACCAGAUCAAUUCUUUGUUGCUAUCUAUUUUGCGGACAACAGCAAGUAAAUGCUGCUACUCAAGAUUUUAUGGUGACCACCACUUUGUUCUAAUUUAGGACAAUGUAAGAUUGAUAGAUUUGAGGUUAAUCCCUCUCCGCUGUUAUAGUUGUUUGAAACCGACAAGAGAUUGCUGGAAUCGAAGACUGAUAAUUUGUGUAGAUUUAGAUAAAUUUUCAAGUGCAUACCUGUUCUCCUUAUUUUCUGUGGCCCGUUUCCCUGACUAACCACUAAUCAACGCCUGCCGUUGGUCCCUCAACCCCUGUGAUAACCAGGAGGAGGGGAGGGCUCUGGUUGAACAGAGACUUGGAAGGUUCAUGAUUUUAUGAAAGCUUUUGGAGGGUCAUUAAUCUAACCUGUAAAGCUGUAAGGCACUAUGAUUGUAUCUCCCCAGUAGAAUUGGUCUUGUAUAAUCUCUUCUUCAUUGGACAGGUAAUUACCCUGGGUACUUUGUUACCCAGUCAAUGCAGUGUUUCUCUCCCUGUCAUGCUUGUAUAAGAUAUGGUUACCAUAAAUUCACAACUGUUUUUUUUUUUAAAA